This is a non-coding RNA of Pan troglodytes (chimpanzee), 148 nucleotides long. It matches the Rfam family "Metazoan signal recognition particle RNA". Rfam says of the family: The signal recognition particle (SRP) is a universally conserved ribonucleoprotein. It is involved in the co-translational targeting of proteins to membranes. The eukaryotic SRP consists of a 300-nucleotide 7S RNA and six proteins: SRPs 72, 68, 54, 19, 14, and 9. The record is from Rfam. Lineage: Eukaryota; Metazoa; Chordata; Mammalia; Primates; Hominidae.
GCUGGGCAUGGUGGUGCACACCUGUAGUCCCAGCUACUUGGGAGGCUGAGGCAGAAGGACUGCUUGAGCCCAGGAGUUCAAGGCUGCAGUGAGCUACGGUUUCUCCACUGCACUCUAGCCUGGGCAACAAAGGAAGACCCUGUCUCAA